UUUUGGACAAUGGGGGCAAUCCUGAUCCAGCCAUUCCGCGUGAGUGAAGAAGGCCUUCGGGUUGUAAAGCUCUUUUGUCCGGAACGAAACGGUUACAGCGAAUACCUGUGACUACUGACGGUACCGGAAGAAUAAGCACCGGCUAACUACGUGCCAGCAGCCGCGGUAAUACGUAGGUGGCAAGCGUUGUCCGGAUUUACUGGGCGUAAAGGGCGCGCAGGCGGUCUGUUUAGUCUAGGGUGAAAGCUCCCGGCUCAACUGGGAGAGGUCCUUGGAUACUGGCAGACUCGAGGGAUGCAGAGGAAAGUGGAAUUCCCGGUGUAGUGGUGAUAUGCGUAGAUAUCGGGAGGAACACCAGUGGCGAAGGCGGCUUUCUGGGCAUUACCUGACGCUGAGGCGCGAAAGCGUGGGGAGCGAAC
This 419-nucleotide ribosomal RNA is filed under the name uncultured bacterium. RNAcentral describes it as "bacterial SSU rRNA". It matches the Rfam family "Bacterial small subunit ribosomal RNA", at positions 362 to 773 of the family's 1533-position model. The record is from RNAcentral.